CCAAGAGUACUAACUGUUGGGGCCGUUAGGCCUUAGUAGCGCAGCUAACGCGUGAAGUUGACCGCCUGGGGAGUACGGUCGCAAGAUUAAAACUCAAAGGAAUUGACGGGGACCCGCACAAGCGGUGGAUGAUGUGGAUUAAUUCGAUGCAACGCGAAAAACCUUACCUACCCUUGACAUGUCUGGAAUCCCGAAGAGAUUUGGGAGUGCUCGCAAGAGAACCGGAACACAGGUGCUGCAUGGCUGUCGUCAGCUCGUGUCGUGAGAUGUUGGGUUAAGUCCCGCAACGAGCGCAACCCUUGUCAUUAGUUGCUACGCAAGAGCACUCUAAUGAGACUGCCGGUGACAAACCGGAGGAAGGUGGGGAUGACGUCAAGUCCUCAUGGCCCUUAUGGGUAGGGCUUCACACGUCAUACAAUGGUCGGGACAGAGGGUCGCCAACCCGCGAGGGGGAGCCAAUCUCAGAAACCCGAUCGUAGUCCGGAUCGCAGUCUGCAACUCGACUGCGUGAAGUCGGAAUCGCUAGUAAUCGCGGAUCAGAAUGUCGCGGUGAAUACGUUCCCGGGUCUUGUACACACCGCCCGUCACACCAUGGGAGUGGGUUUCACCAGAAGUAGGUAGCCUAACCGUAAGGAGGGCGCUUACCACGGUGGGAUUCAUGACUGGGGUGAAGUCGUAACAAGGUAACCGAGA
This 693-nucleotide ribosomal RNA is filed under the name Achromobacter sp. Its description in RNAcentral is "bacterial SSU rRNA". It matches the Rfam family "Bacterial small subunit ribosomal RNA", at positions 807 to 1505 of the family's 1533-position model. Lineage: Bacteria; Pseudomonadati; Pseudomonadota; Betaproteobacteria; Burkholderiales; Alcaligenaceae. The record is from RNAcentral.